CCAAUAGCGUAUAUUAAAGUUGUUGUGGUUAAAAAGCUCGUAGUUGAACCUUGGGCCUGGCUGGCCGGUCCGCCUCACCGCGUGUACUGGUCCGGCCGGGCCUUUCCCUCUGUGGAACCCCAUGCCCUUCACUGGGUGUGGCGGGGAAACAGGACUUUUACUUUGAAAAAAUUAGAGUGCUCCAGGCAGGCCUAUGCUCGAAUACAUUAGCAUGGAAUAAUAGAAUAGGACGUGUGGUUCUAUUUUGUUGGUUUCUAGGACCGCCGUAAUGAUUAAUAGGGACAGUCGGGGGCAUCAGGAUUCAAUUGUCAGAGGUGAAAUUCUUGGAUUUAUUGAAGACUAACUACUGCGAAAGCAUUUGCCAAGGAUGUUUUCAUUAAUCAGGAACGAAAGUUAGGGGAUCGAAGACGAUCAGAUACCGUCGUAGUCUUAACCAUAAACUAUGCCGACUAGGGAUCGGACGAUGUUAUUUUUUGACUCGUUCGGCACCUUACG
RNAcentral lists this ribosomal RNA (495 nucleotides) under uncultured Paraglomus. RNAcentral's name for it is "SSU rRNA". It matches the Rfam family "Eukaryotic small subunit ribosomal RNA", at positions 591 to 1092 of the family's 1831-position model. Lineage: Eukaryota; Fungi; Glomeromycota; Glomeromycetes; Paraglomerales; Paraglomeraceae. The record is from RNAcentral.